AGAGUUUGAUCCUGGCUCAGGGUGAACGCUGGCGGUGCGCCUAAUGCAUGCAAGUCGAGCGAACCUGUGACUUCGGUCACACAUAGGUUAGCGGCGGACGGCUGAGUAACACGUGAGUAACUUGCCUUUUGGUGGGGUAUAGCCCAGAGAAAUCUGGAUUAAUCCCGCAUAAGAUCUUAGAACCCUGGUUCUUUGAUGAAAGCCUUCGGGCGCCGAAAGAGAGGCUCGCGGACUAUCAGGUAGUUGGUGGGGUAAUGGCCUACCAAGCCUAAGACGGUUAGCUGGUCUGAGAGGAUGAUCAGCCAGAGGGGGACUGAGACACGGCCCCCACUCCUACGGGAGGCAGCAGCAGGGAAUCUUGGGCAAUGGACGAAAGUCUGACCCAGCGACAUCGCGUGGGGGAUGAAGGCCUUAGGGUUGUAAACUCCUUUUAUAAGAGAAGAGUAAGGACGGUACCUUAUGAAUAAGCCCCGGCUAACUACGUGCCAGCAGCCGCGGUAAUACGUAGGGGGCGAGCGUUACCCGGAAUCACUGGGCGUAAAGAGAGCGUAGGCGGUUUGGAAAGUCAUUUGUGAAAGCUCCUGGCUCAACUAGGAGAGGUCAAGUGAAACUUCCUGACUUGAGGACGGUAGAGGUAAGCGGAAUUCUUGGUGUAGCGGUGAAAUGCGUAGAUAUCAAGAAGAACACCAGAGGCGAAGGCGGCUUACUGGGCCGUUUCUGACGCUGAGGCUCGAGAGCGUGGGUAGCAAACAGGAUUAGAUACCCUGGUAGUCCACGCC
RNAcentral lists this ribosomal RNA (779 nucleotides) under marine metagenome. RNAcentral describes it as "bacterial SSU rRNA". It matches the Rfam family "Bacterial small subunit ribosomal RNA", at positions 8 to 801 of the family's 1533-position model. The record is from RNAcentral.